UUUAAGUGCUUUGAUGGGGAUGGUUCCCUCCUGAAAUAGGAUUAAAAUUGCUUAUUUAAUAAAUUAAUGAUCCUACAUAAAUGACCCCUCAACACCUGAGGGGGAGCAGCUCUGUGCAGAGUCCUUGGUGGAAGAUGACCUUGAAACUUACAGCCUACAGAAAACACUUUUGAAAUUGAGAGCAGCUGGAAGCAAUGCAGCACAUAAGUAUGAAAAGUAGAAAGACAUGCCUUUCUCUAGACAAUGUUGUUUGCAUCAUACCUUUCUUCAAACCCACACAUAGCAUGCAAUUCAGUAAAAAGAUAUAAACAUUGACAUACUGUCUCUUCAUCUCAUUAUCAAUGCCCGUGAAAAGGAAAUCCAGUCUAAUAAGUAAAGGAUAUGGAAAGAGAUACAGAGGCAGGUUUGUGAAG
Oxyura jamaicensis (ruddy duck) is the source of this 413-nucleotide long non-coding RNA. RefSeq lists it as uncharacterized. Lineage: Eukaryota; Metazoa; Chordata; Aves; Anseriformes; Anatidae. The transcript is spliced from 3 exons. The record is from RefSeq and is a predicted model, not a curated record.